RNAcentral lists this long non-coding RNA (698 nucleotides) under Vigna radiata. Its description in RNAcentral is "long non-coding RNA (VRAD_LNC015970)". The record is from RNAcentral. Lineage: Eukaryota; Viridiplantae; Streptophyta; Magnoliopsida; Fabales; Fabaceae.
AUGGCAACUUAUGUUAUGCACUUUUGGAAAAGAUUUGCUUCGUUUUGUGUUUUUUUUAUCUGAGUCAAUUGUCUUAUCUUGCAAUCAUUAAACUGGUUUUUUUUCUUUUUUUUUGUGAAAACCGAGGAACGUCACACAUCCGAUGUCUAAUGUAUGAUAUGAUUACACUUUGACUUUUUUCCUUCUUGACAUCAGUGCACACAUGCUUAAAUUUAUUGGCAAGAGGAUGAUUUUGAAGAGAAUGAGAGUUGCUUAGAAUGGUUUGGAAGGUUGGGACAAGCAUGUGGGCACUACAAUCCUCAAAGGAGAUGCAAUAUGUGAGUGUCAAGACGAAACAUGAUAUACCAAAAAUUUUGCCCUGGUUUUGUGUUUGGGAAAAUGAGCUGGGGUUUUGAUCCAUGAAAAUUGUGGUGAAACAAAAUCAAGUGAGACUUGCAAAGUUGCCUCGGUCGUGGGAUUAUGGAUUGAUGAAAAAUUUGUGUGAGACUCACAAAGCUGCCCCAGUUUAUUUUAUCGUGGUAUGGGAUGAUGAAAAACUCGUGUGAGGUUCACAAAGUUGCCUUAGUUUUCUUUGGCCCGGGGUUCUGUUUGGAAGAGGUAGUGGCAUGACAAGGAUCGACCAAAAGGAUGGUCCUAACUAGUUUGAUUUUCUUUUGCAUGCUUUUGGCUAGGUUACAGGGAGAUCCCCUCUUCUUGAG